UACGGAGGGCGCAAGCGUUGUCCGGAUUUAUUGGGUUUAAAGGGUGCGUAGGCGGGUAAUUAAGUCAGUGGUGAAAGCCGACAGCUCAACUGUCGAACCGCCAUUGAUACUGGUUAUCUUGAGUAUAGUUGGGGCAGGCGGAAUUUACGAUGUAGCGGUGAAAUGCAUAGAUAUGACAUAGAACACCUAUUGCGAAGGCAGCUCACUAAACUAUUACUGACGCUGAUGGACGAAAGCGUAGGUAGCGAACAGG
RNAcentral lists this unclassified non-coding RNA (253 nucleotides) under uncultured Cyclobacteriaceae bacterium. RNAcentral's name for it is "contains 16S-23S intergenic spacer region". It matches the Rfam family "Bacterial small subunit ribosomal RNA", at positions 524 to 776 of the family's 1533-position model. The record is from RNAcentral. Lineage: Bacteria; Pseudomonadati; Bacteroidota; Cytophagia; Cytophagales; Cyclobacteriaceae.